UGGGCUGCGGCUCAGUGGCAGAGCACUCGCCUAGCAUGUGAGAGGCCCUGGGUUAGAAUCUCAACACCACAU
This 72-nucleotide transfer RNA is filed under the name Ictidomys tridecemlineatus (thirteen-lined ground squirrel). Its description in RNAcentral is "Spermophilus tridecemlineatus (thirteen-lined ground squirrel) tRNA". It matches the Rfam family "tRNA". From Rfam's summary of the family: Transfer RNA (tRNA) molecules are approximately 80 nucleotides in length. Lineage: Eukaryota; Metazoa; Chordata; Mammalia; Rodentia; Sciuridae. The record is from Rfam by way of RNAcentral.